UCCCUGGUGGCUCAGAUGGUAAAAGUAUCCGCCUGCAAUGCGGGAGACCUGGGUUUGAUCCCUGGGUUGGGAA
Transfer RNA from Ovis aries (sheep), 73 nucleotides. It matches the Rfam family "tRNA". Rfam says of the family: Transfer RNA (tRNA) molecules are approximately 80 nucleotides in length. Their secondary structure includes four short double-helical elements and three loops (D, anti-codon, and T loops). The record is from Rfam. Lineage: Eukaryota; Metazoa; Chordata; Mammalia; Artiodactyla; Bovidae.